GAUGAACGCUGGCGGCGUGCCUAAUACAUGCAAGUCGAGCGAACAGACGAGGAGCUUGCUCCUCUGACGUUAGCGGCGGACGGGUGAGUAACACGUGGAUAACCUACCUAUAAGACUGGGAUAACUUCGGGAAACCGGAGCUAAUACCGGAUAAUAUAUUGAACCGCAUGGUUCAAUAGUGAAAGACGGUUUUGCUGUCACUUAUAGAUGGAUCCGCGCCGCAUUAGCUAGUUGGUAAGGUAACGGCUUAUCAAGGCAACGAUGCGUAGCCGACCUGAGAGGGUGAUCGGCCACACUGGAACUGAGACACGGUCCAGACUCCUACGGGAGGCAGCAGUAGGGAAUCCUCCGCAAUGGGCGAAAGCCUGACGGAGCAACGCCGCGUGAGUGAUGAAGGUCUUCGGAUCGUAAAACUCUGUUAUUAGGGAAGAACAAAUGUGUAAGUAACUAUGCACGUCUUGACGGUACCUAAUCAGAAAGCCACGGCUAACUACGUG
RNAcentral lists this ribosomal RNA (497 nucleotides) under uncultured bacterium. RNAcentral describes it as "partial 16S ribosomal RNA". It matches the Rfam family "Bacterial small subunit ribosomal RNA", at positions 28 to 507 of the family's 1533-position model. The record is from RNAcentral.